UGGGGGAUAUUGCACAAUGGGCGAAAGCCUGAUGCAGCGACGCCGCGUGGGGGAUGAAGGCCUUCGGGUUGUAAACUUCUUUUGCUCUGAACAAGGCAUGCCUUUGGGGUGUGUUGAGUGUAGGGGUUGAUUAGCGCCGGCUAACUACGUGCCAGCAGCCGCGGUAAUACGUAGGGCGCGAGCGUUGUCCGGAAUUAUUGGGCGUAAAGGGCUUGUAGGUGGCUGGUUGCGUCUGUCGUGAAAGCUCAUGGCUUAACUGUGGGUUUGCGGUGGGUACGGGCUGGCUUGAGUGCAGUAGGGGAGGGUGGAAUUCCUGGUGUAGCGGUGGAAUGCGCAGAUAUCAGGAGGAAUACCGGUGGCGAAGGCGGGUCUCUGGGCUGUUACUGACGCUGAGGAGCGAAAGCGUGGGGAGCGAACAGG
RNAcentral lists this ribosomal RNA (420 nucleotides) under Fusobacteriota bacterium. RNAcentral's name for it is "Fusobacteria bacterium partial 16S ribosomal RNA". It matches the Rfam family "Bacterial small subunit ribosomal RNA", at positions 355 to 776 of the family's 1533-position model. The record is from RNAcentral. Lineage: Bacteria; Fusobacteriati; Fusobacteriota.